GAAAGAAAGAAAAAAAAUAUGUAUCUGAUGAUCUGAUCCCACAUCCUUUCAAGUCCCAACAGUCCUCAUUCUAGAUUGUCUAGGUUUAUGGCCCUCUUGUGGUUAGAAGUACCUGAUCAGAGAUUCAGAGACAAUAGCAUCAUUGAAGUUGUGAAAUUAAUGGAAAUCCAGUGAAAUGCCACUAUCAAAGUCUCAAAGGCAGAGAGAGAGAGAGAGAAGCUAGGACCCUCAUAUUGUACAGUACCGCAGCAGCAGCGAUCUGUGAUUUUCCCUUGGAAGCUUUUAUUUCUUUAUCUGCAUCAUUAGUAAUCAGUCAGUGAAGGAAAGAGAGGAGGGAAACGUACUUGGUACUUGCAGCCAAUGGGUUGCACUGACUUGUCCUUCUCCGUCCCCUCUGCUAGUUACUAUUGCUUGCAGGUGCUAAAUCAACGAGUCCUUUAUUAGCCAGCGCGUAGCCGGAAUUCGUUCACGAGAAGGAAUGUCGAUCGACCAAGAACAAGCGUAUAGAAUUAGUGUUGACGGAAAAUUUUAUAGUACGUACCAGUAUCUCAUACACACAUUUACAAAUGUGACAACAAAUUUGUUGUCAAAGUGGUAAUGUUGAGUCCUAUUUUGUGUAAUCUUAGUUCUAAUAAUGGUAAUUACACCUCCUACGACAUUGUUACAAGCUUUUGAACAAAUUCGCUGUCAAUGUUGUAAUUUUUGUUUAACUAUAUGUAAAUAGUGUAAAUGAAUAUGGUAACUUUUGUUCUCAA
Molecule: long non-coding RNA, 755 nt
Organism: Rosa rugosa (rugosa rose)
Lineage: Eukaryota; Viridiplantae; Streptophyta; Magnoliopsida; Rosales; Rosaceae
Exons: 2
Source: RefSeq, a predicted model, not a curated record